This 30-nucleotide non-coding RNA is filed under the name Rattus norvegicus (Norway rat). The record is from RNAcentral. Lineage: Eukaryota; Metazoa; Chordata; Mammalia; Rodentia; Muridae.
UACACUAGCGCUUUCCCUGACUCAAGGGCA